AACUGGGAAUGUACUAUCAAAGGAAGGAUCGGCUAACUACGUGCCACCAGCCGCGGUAAUACGUAAGAUCCGAGCGUUGUCCGGAUUUACUGGGUAUAAAGGGUGCGUAGGCGGGUUUGUGCUUCAUAGGUUAAAGACCGCAUCUCAACUGCGGGAGUGCCUCUGAUAAGGCAAAUCUUGGAUAUGAGAGGGGUAGGUAGAAUUCCUGGUGUAGCGGUGAAAUGCGUAGAUAUCAGGAGGAAUACCAGCGGCGAAUGCGGCCUACUGGCUCAUAAUCAACGCUGAAGCACGAAAGCGUGGGGAUCAAACAGGAUUAGAUACCCUGGUAGUCCACGCCCUAAACGAUGUAUGCUUGGUGUUGGGGAGCAAUUCUCAAUGCCGUAAGAAAUCUGUUAAGCAUACCACCUGGAGAGUACGAUCGCAAGGUUGAAACUCAAAAGAAUUGACGGGGGCCCGCACAAGCGGAGGAUCAUGUGGAUUAAUUCGAUGCAACGCGAAGAACCUUACCCAGGCUUGAAGUGCAUUUGACUAUUGCAGAAAUGUAAUAUUUCUUCGAGAACACGUGCAGAGGUGCUGCAUGGCCGUCUUCAUCUCUUGCCGUGAGGUGUUGGGUUAAGUCCCGCAACGAGCGCAACCCUUAUCUUUAGUUGCCAUCGGGUCAUGCCGGGAACUCUAAACAGACUGCCCACGCAAGUGCUGAGGAAAGUGAGGAUGACAUCAAGUCAUCAUGGCCCUUAUG
RNAcentral lists this ribosomal RNA (739 nucleotides) under uncultured bacterium. Its description in RNAcentral is "bacterial SSU rRNA". It matches the Rfam family "Bacterial small subunit ribosomal RNA", at positions 465 to 1206 of the family's 1533-position model. The record is from RNAcentral.